Molecule: ribosomal RNA, 497 nt
Filed under: uncultured bacterium
Lineage: Bacteria
Description: partial 16S ribosomal RNA
Rfam family: Bacterial small subunit ribosomal RNA
Source: RNAcentral
GAUGAACGCUGGCGGCGUGCCUAAUACAUGCAAGUCGAGCGAACGGACGAGAAGCUUGCUUCUCUGAUGUUAGCGGCGGACGGGUGAGUAACACGUGGAUAACCUACCUAUAAGACUGGGAUAACUUCGGGAAACCGGAGCUAAUACCGGAUUAUAUUUUGAACCGCAUGGUUCAAAAGUGAAAGACGGUCUUUCUGUCACUUAUAGAUGGAUCCGCGCUGCAUUAGCUAGUUGGUAAGGUAACGGCUUACCAAGGCAACGAUGCAUAGCCGACCUGAGAGGGUGAUCGGCCACACUGGAACUGAGACACGGUCCAGACUCCUACGGGAGGCAGCAGUAGGGAAUCUUCCGCAAUGGGCGAAAGCCUGACGGAGCAACGCCGCGUGAGUGAUGAAGGUCUUCGGAUCGUAAAACUCUGUUAUUAGGGAAGAACAUAUGUGUAAGUAACUGUGCACAUCUUGACGGUACCUAAUCAGAAAGCCACGGCUAACUACGUG